Molecule: long non-coding RNA, 499 nt
Filed under: Mytilus galloprovincialis (Mediterranean mussel)
Lineage: Eukaryota; Metazoa; Mollusca; Bivalvia; Mytilida; Mytilidae
Source: RNAcentral
UUUUUUUUUAACACUUGAAUAUAAAUUUAUUGCACUAAAGCUGUUAACAAUAACCUUACCGCUACAGCUUUAACUGUAAGGUACCCUGAAAUGGUUAGUAUCUAUAAGAACAGGGUUUCAUAUAGAUAAGUAUUAUUUUCUUAAAUUUUAUAUUAGAAUAUUACAAUAAAUACAAUGUUCAAUAAUAAUAUAAUACAAUUCAAUACUCUGAUCUGAAAUUAAUGAUAUACUUUUCUUCAAUACAUAAUUAAAUAACGCCCAUAUAAUACACUUGUCCGAAAUUGAUUGUCUGGUGUCAAUUAUCUCGUUUAAAAAUUACAUGAUUUAAGAGUGUGUGAUAUCGAUUUUCUUGAUCGGAUGGUUUACCUUGUUUAAAGGUGAGAGAGAGCAUGCUUUUUAAAGGAUGUGUGUUGAAUUUGGCGACUUUAUUUCUUUUUAUUUGGAUUUAAAACAUAUUAGGUAAGUCAUUUCUUUAUUUAUAUUAGUUAAGGUGUUCUAG